GGUCGGGUGGCUGAGUGGUGAGGCGAGAGUUUGCAAAACUCUUUACAAUGGUUCGAUUCCAUUCCCGACCU
This 71-nucleotide transfer RNA is filed under the name Sphingobacterium zeae. RNAcentral describes it as "tRNA-Cys". It matches the Rfam family "tRNA". From Rfam's summary of the family: Transfer RNA (tRNA) molecules are approximately 80 nucleotides in length. Their secondary structure includes four short double-helical elements and three loops (D, anti-codon, and T loops). The record is from RNAcentral. Lineage: Bacteria; Pseudomonadati; Bacteroidota; Sphingobacteriia; Sphingobacteriales; Sphingobacteriaceae.